GAUGUACAAAAAAUAAAAGCUGUGUGA
Molecule: small RNA, 27 nt
Filed under: Bombyx mori (domestic silkworm)
Lineage: Eukaryota; Metazoa; Arthropoda; Insecta; Lepidoptera; Bombycidae
Description: ovarian small RNA-16165
Source: RNAcentral